AAGAUAACAGAAAAAAAAUUCUGACUUUGAGAGCUAUAUAAAAGUUUCUAUUUUUUUUCUAUGUUACAGUUGCAGCAAAUACACAGCAAAUAGGAGGAAAUCUCUCUUUGAUCUGUGUGCUUACUUGUGCUGAAAAAUGUGAAGAAAACUUCAAUUUAACUUGGUCUGGAAGCAACCAAGAGCGUUGGAAAGGCAGAUUAUUUAAUGUUAACAACACAUUGAUCAAUGAGCUUCUUCUCCCAGUUUGGCCAGUUAGCUCUGAUGCAGUAACCUGCUCUGUGUACAGAGAAGGUUCAAAGAUGGCAUCAAAAAGUUUGAGCAAAUCUCUGCAGGUCUCCUGGGUCUUAGCCCUUCGUCUUGGCCUUAUAAUAGGUGUAGCUGCCGUUGGAUUUUGCAUCUACAUGAAGUGGAAACACUGCAAUAAUGCAGUGUGUCAGAACUGGAAGACCUUGCAAAUCAACUAGGAAUGUUCACAUGUGCUCACAUCAGUUUGCUUCUUCGAUGAGCCAUGAGGAAACACAGCAAGGAAAAAGAAUCACAAGAGACAGAAGACAAAUUUACAGAGAACCACUCAUUGCUGAUGUUCUACAGUUUGUAAAAGGUCAUAAUAGCAGUGGGAAAUAAACAAUAUUUUGUGUUUAAUUCA
Molecule: long non-coding RNA, 646 nt
Organism: Gambusia affinis (western mosquitofish)
Lineage: Eukaryota; Metazoa; Chordata; Actinopteri; Cyprinodontiformes; Poeciliidae
Exons: 3
Source: RefSeq, a predicted model, not a curated record